GUCGAACGAGACUUUUUAUUUGAUGCUUGCAUCUUUUAAAAAGUUGAGUGGCGAACGGGUGAGUAACACGUGGGUAACCUGCCUUAAAGUGGGGGAUAACACUUGGAAACAGGUGCUAAUACCGCAUAACCAUCAAAACCGCCUGGUUUUGAUGUUAAAGAUGGUUCUGCUAUCGCUUUAAGAUGGACCCGCGGCGUAUUAGCUAGUUGGUGAGGUAAUGGCUUACCAAGGCAAUGAUACGUAGCCGAACUGAGAGGUUGAUCGGCCACAUUGGGACUGAGACACGGCCCAAACUCCUACGGGAGGCAGCAGUAGGGAAUCUUCCACAAUGGACGAAAGUCUGAUGGAGCAACGCCGCGUGAGUGAAGAAGGUUUUCGGAUCGUAAAACUCUGUUGUCAGAGAAGAACGUGUGUGAGAGUAACUGUUCACGCAGUGACGGUAUCUGACCAGAAAGUCACGGCUAACUACGUGCCAGCAGCCGCGGUAAUACGUAGGUGGCAAGCGUUGUCCGGAUUUAUUGGGCGUAAAGGGAACGCAGGCGGUCUUUUAAGUCUGAUGUGAAAGCCUUCGGCUUAACCGAAGUCGGGCAUUGGAAACUGGGAGACUUGAGUGCAGAAGAGGAGAGUGGAACUCCAUGUGUAGCGGUGAAAUGCGUAGAUAUAUGGAAGAACACCAGUGGCGAAAGCGGCUCUCUGGUCUGUAACUGACGCUGAGGUUCGAAAGCGUGGGUAGCAAACAGGAUUAGAUACCCUGGUAGUCCACGCCGUAAACGAUGAAUGCUAAGUGUUGGA
This 792-nucleotide ribosomal RNA is filed under the name uncultured bacterium. RNAcentral's name for it is "bacterial SSU rRNA". It matches the Rfam family "Bacterial small subunit ribosomal RNA", at positions 61 to 827 of the family's 1533-position model. The record is from RNAcentral.